ACUCAAACCAGCUGUAUUAAGGAAGGUGCAAGCUUUUGGGAUUUCUGUUUGGAUUUAGUUUAGGUUCAAAAGAGCACGCACAGAUCCUGAGUGUUGUCAAGCACCCGUGACUGGGAAACGGAGGCGUCCGAUCCGUAUUGGAGUCAAUUCGCCACUUAAUUGAACACAGCCUCGAAGGGAAGGGCCAUAUUUGUGGGCCUGUCUAACAAUUAAGAGUGACCACAUGGAAUGGGGGAUGAAAGGGUUAAAGAAGAACAAAUAUUGAACACAGCUUUUCUAUGAACAAACUGCAGGCAGCUGCUGCUUUGCAAGAAAAACCCUUUGAAAAGAUUCAGCACGUUGCCAUGGAGAACAUCCCACUGAAGGAAUGUAUAGAAGUAGCAGGGUUAACUGAGUGCCUUCCAUCUUCCCUCCAAGGGAUCUGCAAUGAGAUGGGAGAAGGCAACAGGCUGUGUGGGAACCACUGAAGCUGGGAUGGCAGGGAAAGAACAUCUUAGGCUAACUCUUCAAGCCUUGCUGUCACAUUUGCUUUUGAGUCUAUGGUGUCAGCUGCCUACCAGUUGCUUUCAUCUCUAGAAAUCUGUGACUUGCAGUAUGACAAGAACAAAAGGUGACAAUACAAAGGACAAAGGGCAAGGAAUACAGACGGAGAAGCCGCUUAGAGUCUAGGAUGGCAGAGGUUCUCUUGAUCAUUUCAUUUUUGAGCGCUUGUAGAGCUUUGGUGUACCAGAGGUGCUUGAACAGCUUACCACACCACAGAUGAAUGGCCUUUGGAUUUCUCCUAAGAAAAUGUGGCUACCUGAAAUUCAACUCCAUUUUCUGGUCUUCAAUAUUUCUUUUGUGUUCAGUUUGCCAGCUGAGGAGAAGUGGCUAAGCAUAGCCUGUUACUGAUGCUAAAGCCCAAGUUCUGAACCUAACAACUCCAGCAACAUGAUCCUGUUUCAAGAGACAAAAAAGUGACUAAUGAAAGAAAACAAUUGAUGUGCUAUGUAGAGUUUAAAAGAAGGUAAAGAGAAUAAAUUAAAAGCAACAACUCUC
Long non-coding RNA from Mus musculus (house mouse), 1038 nucleotides. RefSeq annotates it as RIKEN cDNA 4930440I19 gene. The record is from RefSeq and is marked predicted. The transcript is spliced from 7 exons. Lineage: Eukaryota; Metazoa; Chordata; Mammalia; Rodentia; Muridae.